Molecule: transfer RNA, 72 nt
Filed under: Camelus bactrianus (Bactrian camel)
Lineage: Eukaryota; Metazoa; Chordata; Mammalia; Artiodactyla; Camelidae
Also listed under: 3 other names
Rfam family: tRNA
About the family: Transfer RNA (tRNA) molecules are approximately 80 nucleotides in length. Their secondary structure includes four short double-helical elements and three loops (D, anti-codon, and T loops). Further hydrogen bonds mediate the characteristic L-shaped molecular structure. tRNAs have two regions of fundamental functional importance: the anti-codon, which is responsible for specific mRNA codon recognition, and the 3' end, to which the tRNAs corresponding amino acid is attached (by aminoacyl-tRNA synthetases). tRNAs cope with the degeneracy of the genetic code in two manners: having more than one tRNA (with a specific anti-codon) for a particular amino acid; and 'wobble' base-pairing, i.e. permitting non-standard base-pairing at the 3rd anti-codon position.
Source: Rfam by way of RNAcentral
GAGGGUAUAGCUCAGUGGUAGAGCACACGCUUAGCAUGCACGAGGUCCUGGGUUCAAUCCCCAGUACCUCCA